GGAGUUAGCCGGUGCUUCUUCUGCGAGUAACGUCACAGAUGUAAGGUAUUAACUUACACCCUUUCCUCCUCGCUGAAAGUGCUUUACAACCCGAAGGCCUUCUUCACACACGCGGCAUGGCUGCAUCAGGGUUUCCCCCAUUGUGCAAUAUUCCCCACUGCUGCCUCCCGUAGGAGUCUGGGCCGUGUCUCAGUCCCAGUGUGGCUGAUCAUCCUCUCAGACCAGCUAGGGAUCGUCGCCUAGGUGAGCCUUUACCUCACCUACUAGCUAAUCCCACCUGGGCUUAUCCAUCAGCGCAAGGCCCGAAGGUCCCCUGCUUUCCCCCGUAGGGCGUAUGCGGUAUUAGCAGUCGUUUCCAACUGUUAUCCCCCACAAAUGGGCAAAUUCCCAGGCAUUACUCACCCGUCCGCCGCUCGUCAUCUUCAAAAGCAAGCUUUUGAAAUGUUACCGCUCGACUUGCAUGUGUUAGGCCUGCCGCCAGCGUUCAAUCUGAGCCAGGAAUCAAACUCUGA
Molecule: ribosomal RNA, 512 nt
Filed under: uncultured bacterium
Lineage: Bacteria
Description: partial 16S ribosomal RNA
Source: RNAcentral